GUCUGCGUGGCUUAGCUGGUCAGAGCGUCGGUCUCAUAUUCAUCAGUAUGACUGGAUUAUCAGAUCUAGAUAUCCGAAGAUCAUGAGUUCGAUCCUCAUCGCGGACA
Molecule: transfer RNA, 107 nt
Organism: Verticillium longisporum
Lineage: Eukaryota; Fungi; Ascomycota; Sordariomycetes; Glomerellales; Plectosphaerellaceae
Rfam family: tRNA
About the family: Transfer RNA (tRNA) molecules are approximately 80 nucleotides in length. Their secondary structure includes four short double-helical elements and three loops (D, anti-codon, and T loops).
Source: Rfam